UCAUUAAACAUUUCCAUAUUCAUAAACAGCAUGAGCGCAUUCUUCGUCAUUAACAAUCAUCAACACGCAUCGUGUCGUGGAGAAGGCCUUCCCCAACGAACACGGGCAUCGCACCGUGAAGGGGAGCCUCCCUCAGCGGUCACGGCAUCGUACUAUUGAGGGAGGCCUCCCCCAAUAGACGCUGUAACACUGGCAUACUGGCAUCGCGCCGCGAGAGAGGCCUCUCUCAGCGGACACGGGCAUCGCGCCGUGAGGAAGGCCCUCCUCAACGGACACGGCAUCGUACAGUUGAGGGAGGCCUCCCCCAACAGACGCAAGCAUCAAACAUAAGCAUAAACUUAUCAGCGUAAAGCAUUCAAGCGUAAAUAAGCGUAAUCAAACGUAAAUUACAUAGGGCGUAAAUAGUAUAAACAGC
RNAcentral lists this long non-coding RNA (415 nucleotides) under Salvia miltiorrhiza (redroot sage). Its description in RNAcentral is "long non-coding RNA (SMIL_LNC002499)". The record is from RNAcentral. Lineage: Eukaryota; Viridiplantae; Streptophyta; Magnoliopsida; Lamiales; Lamiaceae.